GCCAGCAGUCAUAUCACUCUGCAACUCACAACUGGCGGUCCAUUGAAGCUAAGCAGGUGUGAGCCUGGUCAAUACCUGGAUGGGAGAACUCCUGGGAAAAACUAAGGUUGCUGCUGGAA
Molecule: ribosomal RNA, 119 nt
Filed under: Lepisosteus oculatus (spotted gar)
Lineage: Eukaryota; Metazoa; Chordata; Actinopteri; Semionotiformes; Lepisosteidae
Source: RNAcentral